UAUAAUUUUUUAUUUUUCGUUUUAUUUGAAAUUUUUUUACGAUUAAUUUUAUUAUUAUUAUUAGAUAAUAAAAUAUGAAUAAUAUUUUACGCGUGACUAUUUUUUUAAAAAAAUUUUAUAAAUUUUUCAAAUAAGACGGAUGAUCAAAUAUUGGACAUAGAAAUCGA
Molecule: microRNA precursor, 167 nt
Filed under: Oryza brachyantha (malo sina)
Lineage: Eukaryota; Viridiplantae; Streptophyta; Magnoliopsida; Poales; Poaceae
Description: MIR812 microRNA precursor family
Rfam family: MIR812 microRNA precursor family
Source: Rfam by way of RNAcentral